This is a non-coding RNA of Saxophila tyrrhenica, 103 nucleotides long. Lineage: Eukaryota; Fungi; Ascomycota; Dothideomycetes; Mycosphaerellales; Extremaceae. The record is from the annotation of a RefSeq genome assembly.
GGCACUUUGGCGGAGUGGUUAACGCGCUGCCCUGCUAUUUCCUUUCGGAAGAGCUGAUAAGGCAGUUCCUUCGGGAGCGAGUGUUCGAAUCACUCAGGUGUCG